Molecule: ribosomal RNA, 405 nt
Filed under: uncultured bacterium
Lineage: Bacteria
Description: partial 16S ribosomal RNA
Rfam family: Bacterial small subunit ribosomal RNA
Source: RNAcentral
AUUGAACGCUGGCGGCAGGCUUAACACAUGCAAGUCGAACGGGAGGCGGACGGGUGGGCAAGGCAUGGGAAUGUAGGUGAUGGAGGGGGAUAAGUACGGGAAACUGUAGCUAAAACCGCUUACCAUAGGAUGGGCCGAAGUGGGAUUAGGUAGUUGGUGAGGUAAAGGCUCACCAAGACGACGAUCUCUAGCUGGUCUGAGAGGAUGACCAGCCACACUGGGACUGAGACACGGCCCAGACUCCUACGGGAGGCAGCAGUGGGGAAUAUUGGGCAAUGGGCGAAAGCUGACGCAGCCAUGCCGCGUGAGUGAAGAAGGUCUUCGGGUUGUAAAGUUCUUUCGGUAGCGAGGCGUUAACUACAGAAGAAGCACCGGCUAACUCCGUGCCAGCAGCCGCGGUAAUUC